ACCUUAAUGAAAAAUAAUAAUGCUGAAAAACAAACCAGAUAUUUACCUGUUCCUUGCACUCAGGGAACAGGCAAUGUUGAGGGAUACCUGGGGUCCUCGAAGCACCUGUUAGCAGUUUGGCUAGUGGUUUCAAGAAAAGCCGCAGCAGGGAUGGACUCGAUACAGAGGAACGCACUGUUAUGAUCAGCGUGUCUCUGAAAGGGCUUCUAUCAAUCCG
RNAcentral lists this long non-coding RNA (217 nucleotides) under Sinocyclocheilus anshuiensis. Its description in RNAcentral is "lncRNA (ENSSANG00000001198.1)". Lineage: Eukaryota; Metazoa; Chordata; Actinopteri; Cypriniformes; Cyprinidae. The record is from RNAcentral.